GAUGAACGCUAGCGACAGGCCUAACACAUGCAAGUCGAGGGGCAGCACGAAGUAAGCUUGCUUACUUUGGUGGCGACCGGCGCACGGGUGCGUAACAGGUGUGCAAUCUGUCCAUAAUCGGGGAAUAGCCCAGCGAAAGUUGGAUUAAUGCUCCAUGUGAGUUUUAGAGGCAUCUCUUUAAUUUGAAACGUAAGGAUUAUGGGUGAGCACGCUUCUGAUUAGGUAGUUGGUGAGGUAACGGCUCACCAAGCCGACGAUCAGUAGGGGUUCUGAGAGGAAGGUCCCCCACAUUGGAACUGAGACACGGUCCAA
Molecule: ribosomal RNA, 312 nt
Filed under: uncultured bacterium
Lineage: Bacteria
Description: bacterial SSU rRNA
Rfam family: Bacterial small subunit ribosomal RNA
Source: RNAcentral